Halichondria panicea is the source of this 347-nucleotide long non-coding RNA. RefSeq lists it as uncharacterized. Lineage: Eukaryota; Metazoa; Porifera; Demospongiae; Suberitida; Halichondriidae. The record is from RefSeq and is a predicted model, not a curated record. The transcript has 2 exons.
UAUUCAUUGUUAGUCAAAAGGUCAUUUUGUUGUUUUUUGAGCUAUAUUUUUGGACUUCAAGAUCAUUCUUUCAGCGUUCAAGCCAAUCAAGAUGUGAAGCAAAAAGCUUGUAAGAAAAGGUGCAAGUCCUCCUCAACCGUUAACCAGAUCCCACUCUCUCUCAACAAAACAAAAGCAUCUAGGAAGACAUGAAUUCAACAAUGUCAUCCAUAAGACAUUUAGUAACCUCACCUGUCACCUCAUCAUUAAGUAUACAUAAUUAUAUACAUGUUUAUUUUUGCUUGUGUGUAUACACUGUAGUUUUGCAACCACUUACUUUAAACAUUAUAUAAUAUAAUUUAUUGACA